Molecule: ribosomal RNA, 203 nt
Filed under: uncultured bacterium
Lineage: Bacteria
Description: partial 16S ribosomal RNA
Rfam family: Bacterial small subunit ribosomal RNA
Source: RNAcentral
GACGUAGGGCGCGAGCGUUGUCCGGAUUUAUUGGGCGUAAAGAGCUCGUAGGCGGCUUGUCGCGUCGAAUGUGAAAACUCGGGGCUCAACUCCGAGCUUGCAUUCGAUACGGGCAGGCUAGAGUUCGGUAGGGGAGACUGGAAUUCCUGGUGUAGCGGUGAAAUGCGCAGAUAUCAAGGAGGAACACCGGUGGCGAAGGCGGG